ACCCCUACACACCCCUAUUCUCCAUUUUCCCCAUCCCUACACGCUCCUCACCUCCCAAAAUAAAAAUUUCAAUGGUUGUUCCCUAAUUUUCCCAAAAAAAUCAUAGAUCCAUGACUUCUUAUUCUUCUUUAUAUCUUUCUCCUUGAAAAUCCGACUUUAACCUCACCAGGCUGCCUACCAUUAUCAACGCAGUUUUCGCUCAAGCAAUCGAUCAAAGACAAAGAAAAAAGGCUGAGCUUCUGGAUGCAUAAGAGGUAGAAGCUUGUCUUCUUCGGUAGACUCUUGCCGCCCAUUUACUUCAUGUUUUGUUCUACUUGAGGAAUGGGACAUAGAGACUUGUAUCUUUUUCUUUUCUGUUGAAAUAGUGGCAUGUGCAUCCGAAACCAAGUGUUGGGUGUUUUAGAAUCUAGUUUUUUUUCUUAUCAUUGUCUAUGUUGUAUUAGACUUUAUACUUCCAUUUUUAUUGUCAUUUAUUAUGAAGUGUUUAGACUCUUAGGCUAACUUGCCUUGGUGGGUUAGGCGAGUGCCAUCACACUCAAAUUCGGGUCGUAAAAAAUUUGUAUCAGAGCCAAGUUUAUAGGUAUUACAUGUGUACAAGCCUAGUCUAGUAAAGCCUUGAGGAUCGGUGCAGAGAUGUUUGUUACUUAUCUAUGAGGGGCUAUGAAGACUGUUAGAUGGCUAGGACUCAAGCAUCAACUUUUACUUGAUGAGGGGAGACAGCCCCCGAGAUUGCUACUAAGACACAAUUGUAAUGAACUUGAGAGUCAUUUUUUAAGUUUUUUGUGAAAUUACUACUUUACCUAUAUUAUUAU
Solanum dulcamara is the source of this 812-nucleotide long non-coding RNA. RefSeq lists it as uncharacterized. NCBI's taxonomy places the organism in Eukaryota, Viridiplantae, Streptophyta, Magnoliopsida, Solanales, Solanaceae. The transcript is spliced from 3 exons. The record is from RefSeq and is a predicted model, not a curated record.